Molecule: ribosomal RNA, 229 nt
Filed under: uncultured bacterium
Lineage: Bacteria
Description: partial 16S ribosomal RNA
Rfam family: Bacterial small subunit ribosomal RNA
Source: RNAcentral
UGCGUAGGCGGAAUAGUAAGUCAGUGGUGAAAUCCUGCGGCUCAACCGUAGAACUGCCAUUGAUACUGCUAAUCUUGAGUAUAGUUGAGGUGGGCGGAAUGUGUAAUGUAGCGGUGAAAUGCAUAGAUAUUACACAGAACACCGAUUGCGAAGGCAGCUCACUAAACUAUUACUGACGCUGAGGCACGAAAGCGUGGGUAGCGAACAGGAUUAGAUACCCUGGUAGUCC